RNAcentral lists this ribosomal RNA (648 nucleotides) under uncultured bacterium. RNAcentral describes it as "bacterial SSU rRNA". It matches the Rfam family "Bacterial small subunit ribosomal RNA", at positions 143 to 807 of the family's 1533-position model. The record is from RNAcentral.
ACAACAGUUGGAAACGACUGCUAAUACCGCAUAAGCCCACGAUCCGGCAUCGGAUUGAGGGAAAAGGAUUUAUUCACUUCAGGAUGGACUCGCGUCCAAUUAGCUAGUUGGUGAGGUAACGGCCCACCAAGGCGACGAUUGGUAGCCGGACUGAGAGGUUGAACGGCCACAUUGGGACUGAGACACGGCCCAGACUCCUACGGGAGGCAGCAGUGGGGGAUAUAGCACAAUGGGGGAAACCCUGAUGCAGCGACGCCGCGUGGAGGAAGAAGGUUUUCGGAUUGUAAACUCCUGUCGUUAGGGACGAUAAUGACGGUACCUAACAAGAAAGCACCGGCUAACUACGUGCCAGCAGCCGCGGUAAAACGUAGGGUGCAAGCGUUGUCCGGAAUUACUGGGUGUAAAGGGAGCGCAGGCGGACCGGCAAGUUGGAAGUGAAAACUAUGGGCUCAACCCAUAAAUUGCUUUCAAAACUGCUGGCCUUGAGUAGUGCAGAGGUAGGUGGAAUUCCCGGUGUAGCGGUGGAAUGCGUAGAUAUCGGGAGGAACACCAGUGGCGAAGGCGACCUACUGGGCACCAACUGACGCUGAGGCUCGAAAGCAUGGGUAGCAAACAGGAUUAGAUACCCUGGUAGUCCAUGCCGUAAAC